CAAAGGCUUAGUCCUAACUUUUUUGUCAGCUUUAGCCAAAUUUACACAUGCAAGUUUCCGCACUCCCGUGAAAAUCCCCCAGAGUCCCCUGAAUGGGGACGAGGAGCUGGUAUCAGGCUCAAACAACCAAUUAGCCCACGACGCCUUGCUAAGCCACACCCCCAAGGGAGUUCAGCAGUGAUAGACAUUAAGCCAUAAGCGAAAGCUCGACUUAGUUAAAGCUAAGAGGACCGGUAAAACUCGUGCCAGCCACCGCGGUUAUACGAGAGGUCCAAGUUGACAAACGCCGGCGUAAAGCGUGGUUAUGAUUCCUACAAAACUAAAGCCAAAUGCCCACAAAGCUGUUAUACGCUCUCGAGGGCCAGAAACCCACCAACGAAAGUGGGUUUACACACCUGAACCCACGAAAGCUAUGAAACAAACUGGGAUUAGAUACCCCACUAUGCAUAGCCAUAAACAUUGAUACCCCAGCACAUCGGUUAUCCGCCCGGGUACUACGAGCAUAAGCUUAAAACCCAAAGGACUUGGCGGUGCUUCAGACCCACCUAGAGGAGCCUGUUCUAUAACCGAUAAUCCCCGUUCAACCUCACCUCUCCUUGUCUAAACCGCCUAUAUACCGCCGUCAUCAGCUUACCCUGUGAAGGUCUCAUAGUAAGCUUAAUUGCCAUAAUCCAAAAUGCCAGGUCGAGGUGUAGCGUAUGGAGAGGGAAGAAAUGGGCUACAUUUAGUGCACCCACUAUACACGGACGAUGAGUUGAAAAACCCUGCAGAAGGAGGAUUUAGCAGUAAGCGGAAAAUAGAGCGUUCCCCUGAAAUAGGCUCUGAAGCGCGUACACACCGCCCGUCACUCUCCCCAAAAAUUGACACUAACACUCUAUAAUACCCUACUACCAGGAAGGGGAGGCAAGUCGUAACAUGGUAAGUGUACCGGAAGGGGCACUUGGCAAAAU
Molecule: non-coding RNA, 950 nt
Filed under: Choerodon schoenleinii (blackspot tuskfish)
Lineage: Eukaryota; Metazoa; Chordata; Actinopteri; Labriformes; Labridae
Description: 12S ribosomal RNA
Rfam family: Bacterial small subunit ribosomal RNA
Source: RNAcentral